UGUGACAGCCUGAGGGACGGGACCGGAGGAGGACCCUGGUGGUGGUGAAGUCGUGGAGGACAGUGAGUGUAGAGCAGGCACUGCUGAUGCGAGGGCGUGCGCGUUGCGUUUGGUUCAGUGCCUGCAAUCAAUACGAGCUCGCUGGGGGUCAUUUUUUUUGUGUCUUUGAAGCAGUUGUUUAUUUGGUUUCUAAAGUGCUGGUUUUCUCAAGUAAUUUCUCAAGCUUUGUCGGAGCCUCUUGUCUUGUUGGCACUAAGUGAGUUUGAGGGCUAUUUUCUAGUCCACUUUGUCGUUUCGACUUUAUUUUUUUGUUGGCUGUAAUUUUACAUUGAAAUGUAAUUCAGUUCGGUUUUGCUGACUUGGGCAUGGAAAGGAAUACGUUAGCGUCAUCAGGAAACCCCUACGAGGCAUCUGUCUCUUGGGGAACCUGAGGAGCUCUCUGGGUUCUGCUUUCACAGAAUCAUAGAAUCAUGGAAUGGUUUGGGUUGGAAGGAGCUUGUCAGUCCAUCCAGUUCCACCCCUGCCAUGGGCAGGGACACCUCCCACCGGAUCAGGGGCUCCAAGCCCCAUCCAACCUGGCCUGGAACCCCUCCAGGGAUGGGGCAGCCACCACUGCUCUGGGCAACCUGGGCCAGGGCCUCCCCACCCACACAGCAAAACAUUUUUUCCUAAGAUCUCAUCUCAAUCUCCCCUUUUUCAGCUUAAAUCCAUUCCCCUUCAUCCUAUCCUUCUAAUCCCUGACAGAACCCCUCCCCAGCUUUCAUGGAGCCCUUUUCAUGCUGGAAGCGUCUCCCCAGAGCCUUCUCCAGGCUGAUCAACUCCAGCUCUCUCAGCCUGUCCUAGACUUUCCUCACCUCAACCCCUUUUCCCCUCAUUUCUCUUCCCCUCCAUUGGCCUUGGGCAGUGCAUUGGGGUAUGAGCACGUGAGGGUGCCGUGUUCCCACAGUUCUGCUGCCCCAAACCCCCCUAAAACCAAACAGUACAUUAAAGUACAGAGGAGGGAAGAGAAAGCCUGAUCUUUACAGAUGACAUUUAAGCCUGCGGAAGGCCGAUGAAUUUUACCCACUGUCACAUUUAAAAGGCACUGAAUUCAUUAUACCACCGAAUAAAUCAUUUUUUCAAAAACGUAUUUAUCCGGAGAAGAGCCACCACUUUCCAGUCAAGAGCUCCUCCUGCCAGGACAAAAGCUGUCAGCACGGCAGCCAGAAUCCAGUGCUCUCCUCUACUGCAACGGUGUUUGGAUCCCACGCUGUUGGUGAAGGGUCCAGAGCACAAGUCUUAGCAGUAGCAGCUGAAGGACCUCGGGCUGUUUAGUCUGGAGAAGAGGAGGCUGAGGGGAGACCUCAUCGGUCUCUACAACUGCCUGAAAGGAGGUUGUGAUGAGGUGGGUGCUGGGCUCUUCUCCCAAAUACCAAGCAAUGGGGCAAGAGGGAAUGGCCUCAAGUUGCACCAGGGGAGGUUUAGAUUGGGUAUAAGGGAAAAUUUCUUUACUGGCAGAGUAGUGAAGCCCUGGAAGAGGCUGCCCAGGGCAGUGGUGGAGUCUCCGUCCCUGGAGGGAUUCAAAACGUGGGUAGAUGUGGCACUUUGGGAAGUGGUUUAGCAGGAACCUGUCCCCUGUCACUUGGCCUCUUCUCCCAAGUGACAGAGGACAGGACAAGAGGGAAUGGCCUGAAGCUCCGCCAGGGGAGGUUCAGGUUGGAUAUCAGAAAAAAAUUCUUCACGGAAAGAGUCAUGGGGCACUGGAACAGCUGCCCAGGGAGGGGGUGGAGUCGCCUUCCCUGGAGGUGUUUAAGGAAUGGGUGGAUGAAGUGCUGAGGGACAUGGUUUAGGGAGUGUUAGGAAUGGUUGGACUCGAUGAUCCAGUGGGUCCUUUCUGACCUGGUGAUUCUGUGAUUCUGUGAACCAUGGGGUUUGGCUGAUGGUUGAACUGGAUGAGCUUAGAGGUCUUUUCCAACCUUAAUGAUUCCGUGAUUCUGUGAUCUUCACUUGAGACAAGGAGCCGAGGCAUUGCCCUGGGGGACUGAACGAGGGCUGACAGUGCUCCAAGGUGCUCGCGCUCUUCCACUACCAACAGCCGCAAAGUUGUUGAGUUGGAGCUUGGUAAAUCAAGCAGGAAAAUAAUCAGCUCUCAACUGAAGUGAGGAGAUAUUUGAUAUUUUACAGCUUCUUUCAUACACUUUACAGAAACUAAUGGUUACACAAAUAAUACCUGGGGGAUGAUAACAGGCUAUAAAUAAUGCAGGGCUCUCCGGCGCAGAGCUGCUGUGUGCAGGCUUGAGGAGCGCAGAGGAGCCUUGGGAUGACUCUGGUCCUGGUCUUCUCAGAAAAGUCAUGGGGAACAGUGCUCUCCUACCAUCCUGGCAGCCCUCUCGGCCAUGUCCCUGCUGUUUUCUCAACCUUUCCUGGCUGGCUCUGCUUUCUCCGCUUCGCACCUGCAUCACCCACUGCCCUGUCCACUGUGGUCAUUAUCAGCGAUGCCCUUUGCCAGUGGGGCCAAGAGAAGCUAGAGGUGUCCCAUGCAUGCGAGGAAACACCAAACCCAUCGCAGUCCAUGCAGCCUUGUCCAUAAGCUGCUUCGAUGUCUGCUUGACCCGAAGGAAUGGAUGUGUUUCUGUGCCUGCGCAUCUCAGGAGAGUGACUGCUUUGGGUCAGGGCCAGACAAGUGCUCAGGGAAAUGGGUUUGCCCAUUCCUGGGCCAGUAUGGCAGCAGUUUUUUUAUGAAUAUUUGCUUUUCUUUGAGAGCCUUUGUGCAGAACUCCCCAUCUGCGGCUGCAAUGGUUUCAAUUUAACUCUGCUGCUAAAUAUUUUGACAAACCUCUCUUCUUACAGCCUCGCGCGGCGUGUCAUCUUGUACGGUAAGAGUCCCCUCGACUCCCUGCUGCGCGCUCCGUGCCGCUGCCAAAACAGGCUGCGCUGGGGAACCACGACCCUCCCAGGCAGAAACACUCCCAUCUCAAACCCCAGAGGUGCCGGAGGGAGAAAACAGCCCCACAGCCGGUGGUCUUUUAGUGGGGCAGGCUGGCUGCCGGGGGAUGCUCAGCGCACCGCCUCAAAAUAUUCCCAUACAUCAGGGGCUGCCCCACCGGCUCUCUUAGCUCUUCACCCAUGAAUUCAUCUUUUUUAAUGAGAACAUGACCAGAAAACUUGGUGGCAGCACCUGCAGCUCGACAAACCAAGAGAACAAAACCCUUUUCCAUCACAGUUCAGCACUGUUUUUUUUUCUCCACCCGUUUCGCAGGGAGGAAUUGGUCUGUCUGCUCUCUUAUCUGUGACUAUGAAAUUGUAUUUCCCUCUUAACAGGCCUACAGGCGUUACAGAUGGCCAGUUCAGGAGCCACGCCGCAAAUGGCAGGAAUGCUAAAAAGAAACAUCAAGUUUUGCUCGCUUUGUGUUGUGGGAUCCAGCACGCGGGAACGCCUCGUGCAUUAACCUCAGCCCCGCUCCACGGGGACGCAUCGCAAAGCCUGACACUGAUGCCUGAUUCCAGCUUGACUCAGGCUGCCGUGGUCCCAAAAAAAAGCUGUGUUUGGUUUGUUUAGCAUCCUCCAGCCUCUCUUUGUCUCAUGCCUGUCUGUAUCCCCCCCAGAGCAGCUAUGCAGACCCUCUGAGCCCUCUGCAAAUCCCAGAGGAAGAGGAGACCACGGCAGACCUGACUUCUUGCACCAUUAACCCCAGUUUCCUGUGCAGAAAACUGCCAAAGCUGAUUUCCAGUGCACGGGUGGCCAAGCGUCCCAGCUGUCUGAGUUCCCUAUCCGAGUGACGAUGCCACCUCCGAGGCAACGGAUUUGGCUCUCUCUGCCUUUCCUGCUGUCAUCGCUGUGUCUUCACCUCUGCAGCUCCAUCACCCGGGUUUCUCUGCACUUCCACUUGCGAGUUUGCAGGCGCUGGCUCUGUGCUUCAAUAUUUGUGUUGCAAAAAAUGUGAGCUGACAAUGUCCCAUCGGACCCACACUCCCGCUCCGUGCCUGCCGGGGGCUUUCGUGUUCAGAAGUGGCUCCGGCAUGGAUGGGAUGUGUUGAUGUGAAGUGCCUCCAGCCCUGUCCUCCUGCUUCCAUCCCUAGGAGACGUUCCUGGGACCAAACAGCUGAGGUCAACCAGAGGUGCAAUACGGUUUUUUCCAGCCCAGGAAUUUGGGGCUGCAGAGCAGAAACCUCAAACUGCUGUUAAAUGUGGGGGAAAGGCAGCCUCCCUCCUCUUGGACUGGAUGAUCCAAUGGGUCUUUUCCAACCUAGUGAUUCUAUGAUUCCAGAAACCGGCACAAGUAAGGGAAAUGAAAAGCAUGCAAGCCCCCACGAUGACGCUGAUUGAUGAACAUCUGGAGAGGCCGAGGUGGGAGAAGCGUCUGCUUUAGAAGGUGGAACAUCAGGUGGUGAGAGGAGACGGUACAGAAAGAAGCUUCUCGAUGGGAUGCCUGCCCAGAGUAUGGACUUCAUCGCCCGAGGUAUCGUGGUGCUCGCUGGCUCCCACACACAAACCGGGGUGGCUUUGGACCAAGCGUUUGGAUGCUGUGCUCGACUGCUGCGGCUCGGGCUGCGGUCCCAAAGCUGCAAGGAGAGGCAGGAAAGGAUGAGCCAGCAGAGUCUGCAGCGCCUGCUUCAUCCGAGGCUGCUUUAAGCAGAAUUUCAGCAGAGACAAGGGCAAGAACAGGAGACAAACGUGUUCUUUCCCUGACAAGGACACCGAGGAUGCCAGCACUGCUGAGAGGUCACUCAGCACCGCAGGGAAGGGUGCCGAGGAGAUGUGUUCUGACUCAGAGGGACAAAUGCAGACAGUGCGAAAUGAGUGAAAACCUGGCUAAAAAGCCUUUCCUUUGGGCAGCUCAAAAGCUGGCAUUUGCAAGUGCCCUCUGCCAGCUGUUGGUUGUGAGGAGUCGCCCCCAAGUCCUACCGACUUCCCGAGAACCCCUCCCGUCAUUCCCGCUGCUGGGCUGCUCGGGCUCCGGUGUCCAGGGAUGCUGAGCAUUGGCAGGGAAGGUUUCUCUCUCUGAUUGCUCCCACCGCCCGCUGGGGAGGCCUCGCUUUCUGAGAGGCAGCUGCUCCCCCAGGUUCAUCCCUCACAACCUCAUCUUUGCCCCUGCCUUUCCACUAAAAGCCGUUUAUUCAAUGAAUCGCUGCCUAAGGGUGAGCAGGGGGGCAGCGAGAGAAGCUCCUUGUGAAGGAUAGGCAAUGGGGUGUCUUUCUCAGCCUUUGCUUUCCAGAAACCAAAAAGCACCUUGGCGUUGUGAAAGGAGGACAAGGAUGGAGAAUGCCGAAGGCAGAGCUGGGACUCCACAGGAGAGCU
Long non-coding RNA from Cuculus canorus (common cuckoo), 5278 nucleotides. RefSeq lists it as uncharacterized. Lineage: Eukaryota; Metazoa; Chordata; Aves; Cuculiformes; Cuculidae. The record is from RefSeq and is a predicted model, not a curated record. The transcript is spliced from 3 exons.